This 465-nucleotide ribosomal RNA is filed under the name uncultured bacterium. Its description in RNAcentral is "partial 16S ribosomal RNA". It matches the Rfam family "Bacterial small subunit ribosomal RNA", at positions 28 to 507 of the family's 1533-position model. The record is from RNAcentral.
GACGAACGCUGGCGGCGUGCUUAACACAUGCAAGUCGUACGGUAAGGCCCUUUCGGGGGUACACGAGUGGCGAACGGGUGAGUAACACGUGCGUAACCUGCCCACAACUUUGGGAUAACGCUAGGAAACUGGUGCUAAUACUGGAUAUGUGCUCCUGCUGCAUGGUGGGGGUUGGAAAGCUCCGGCGGUUGUGGAUGGAGUUGAGGCCUAUCAGCUUGUUGGUGGGGUAGUGGCCUACCAAGGCGGCGACGGGUAGCCGGCCUGAGAGGGUGACCGGCCACAUUGAGACUGAGAGACGGCCCAGACUCCUACGGGUGGCAGCAGUGGGGAAUAUUGAACAAGGAGCGCAAGCCUGAUGCAGAAACGCCGCGUGCGGGAUGACGGCCUUCGGGUUGUAAACCGCUUUCAGCAGGGACUAAGCUUUUCGUGACGGUACCUGCAGAAGAAGCACCGGCUAACUACGUG